CUCAGCUCUACAUCCUAAGAAUCUUAACAAUGGCCCACAGCUAGCCAGGACUCAUCUACCUGCUGAAAGAGAGCACAGUGUGACCCAGGAGGGGAAGUGUCAUGGGGGCUUUUACUGAGCAUUCUGGGGAUGAUGGAAGUUUCAGACUACAUGGGAUUUCCAGGGCCUCAAACAUCUGCACAUUCUCAACUGCCUCCGAAAAGACGGCUCCAUCAUCCCUGGGACCUCAACGGCAAGAAUUUAGCUUAAUGCAGCCACAUUUCUCCGACUUUACUCUCAGGGCCUCCAGUACGAGUUCCCUUGCACUGACAUAAAUAAAG
RNAcentral lists this long non-coding RNA (320 nucleotides) under Homo sapiens (human). Its description in RNAcentral is "HSALNT0224128". The record is from RNAcentral. Lineage: Eukaryota; Metazoa; Chordata; Mammalia; Primates; Hominidae.